Molecule: long non-coding RNA, 125 nt
Organism: Sinocyclocheilus rhinocerous
Lineage: Eukaryota; Metazoa; Chordata; Actinopteri; Cypriniformes; Cyprinidae
Exons: 3
Source: RefSeq, a predicted model, not a curated record
UUCCACUACAGCGUCAAAUCUGCGCUCAGUGCCGCUGGCAACGCUACAACGCCACUGCUUUGGGGCGUGUCAAAUUUAGGGCAGAGCACGCCUCUGAAAAACAACCUUGUUGUUUUGUAGUCUAU